Molecule: long non-coding RNA, 1021 nt
Filed under: Brassica rapa (field mustard)
Lineage: Eukaryota; Viridiplantae; Streptophyta; Magnoliopsida; Brassicales; Brassicaceae
Description: long non-coding RNA (BRAP_LNC006454)
Source: RNAcentral
CGGCCACAUAUUUAUAAAAAGUGACUUUAGCCUAGUGGUUCUAAGAGAAAUUACCAGUGCUAGAGGUGCUGGGUUCAAUUAUCUUUAACUGCAUUAAUUCAUUUUGGCCCUAAAUAUAAAAUGGGACACGUGUCACUCCCAGAACGCACGAAUUGAUGACGUAGCUUCACGGGAGAGAGGCGAACAUUUCUUUAUAUAGAUUACGUUCACAUGCAUAUGUUUUUUUUGUGGGUUAUCUUUUGGGCUAUGCAAUGACUAUAGUAAAAGCAAAAUGACUUGAUAAAAGAAUCAUGUCUACGUGCCUAUCUUCAUCUUUGGGCUACCGACGUACGGUUUCCGAGUAGAUUCACAUGAACUUUUUUUUCUUUUCUUUUUUUUUGUAAAAGGGCUUAUUCACAUGAACUUAUUCUAUCAACCAUAUACUUAAUUACACUAUUAUAUUUUUUUCCAAAAUUUCAGAAACUAUAUGAUUUAUUAGUAUGGAUCUAAAGUAUCUCUAUUGAGAAUUUCUUUUUAAGAAUUACUAUUUUUUAAGUAACUAAGAUAAUAAUAAUAAUCUAUCAAAUGAAUGUCAAAUGUUAAUAAAUUCAUUUGAAAAUAUUUCAUGAGAUAUUUUAAAAUACUUUAGAUUAUAUUUUGUAAUAUUUAAGAUAUUAUUCAAUAAAAUAGUUUUUAUUAUCUAGAAUAUUUAAAUUUCUGAUAGUAGGAAAAUAAAAAUAAUCUUUUUUACAAACAACUUUUUGAAUAAUGAAUUAUAUAUAUAUAUAUAUAUUUUUUUGGCUUCAUAUCAAAUAUGAUGUGUUUGUUAGAAAAUUCUAAAAAAAAUCUAAAUCAAUUAUGACAAACUGGAUAAAUGAUUACUUAUUAUAUAUAUUUUUAUUAAAAAGUUUUAGACUCUGAAUUGUACAUAUAUCAGAUUUCUUGCUAAAAAUAUAUACUAUUACCUCAUUUUUGUAUAUCAUCGAGACUGAUGAGAGGACUGGAUAAAAAUUAAAAAUCAUAAAAAUAAUAUAUUUGUUUG